GACCUUGUAGCUUAGUUGGUCAAGCGUCUUCAUGUUGUACACCGUCUUCUUAACUUCGUGAGGAUUAUCGCGGGUUCGAGCCCUGCCAAGGUCU
Molecule: non-coding RNA, 94 nt
Organism: Mycena belliarum
Lineage: Eukaryota; Fungi; Basidiomycota; Agaricomycetes; Agaricales; Mycenaceae
Source: the annotation of a GenBank genome assembly